This is a non-coding RNA of Paramuricea clavata, 128 nucleotides long. NCBI's taxonomy places the organism in Eukaryota, Metazoa, Cnidaria, Anthozoa, Malacalcyonacea, Plexauridae. The record is from the annotation of a GenBank genome assembly.
AAGCGAUUUAUUUGUGUAGCUCAUUAUAUAUGCAGAUUCCGAUGUUUACGUCAUUGUAUAUUCAUCCAGUAUAUUAUACUGUAACAUCUGAAUCUGCAUGUAUAAUGAGCUACACAAAUAAAUCAUAG